Small nucleolar RNA from Otolemur garnettii (small-eared galago), 125 nucleotides. Lineage: Eukaryota; Metazoa; Chordata; Mammalia; Primates; Galagidae. The record is from Ensembl.
GGCUAGAAUAAUGCUUGGGUUUUGGUUAUUGCCUAAGUGUGCUAAAGCCUCCCAAGAGUAACUGCUGACCUUAUUUGCUGGUGGUGGCCCUCAUGGCACAGUCAGUCACCAGGUUAGUGAUAUGG